Molecule: unclassified non-coding RNA, 344 nt
Filed under: fungal sp.
Lineage: Eukaryota; Fungi
Description: partial internal transcribed spacer region
Rfam family: Eukaryotic small subunit ribosomal RNA (bases 1-45)
Source: RNAcentral
AGUCGUAACAAGGUAACCGUAGGUGAACCUGCGGUUGGAUCAUUAUUUAUACUAUAGACUAUUUCACAUUCUGGCCUGUCAAGGACAGAUUGUGACAGUAGUCUCUUCAAUGAUAUUUGACCUCUUCUAUUCCCUUGUAGGGUAGGGGAGGUCAAUACCAACACCAAUGUGAACUUUUAUACCAAAAACAACACUUGUUUUUCUCUAUAGUAGACCCUCCAAGUCCUCUAUAGAACAAAAGCAAGUGUCUAUACAAAAAACACUAUAACCCAAAAAAGUCUAUACAAUUUCAGUAAUGAAAGAAUAUAAAAAAACAACUUUUGACAACGGAUCUCUUGGCUCUU